This 337-nucleotide unclassified non-coding RNA is filed under the name soil metagenome. RNAcentral describes it as "partial contains 5.8S ribosomal RNA, internal transcribed spacer 2, and large subunit ribosomal RNA". The stretch from base 1 to 120 matches the Rfam family "5.8S ribosomal RNA", at positions 35 to 154 of the family's 154-position model. The record is from RNAcentral.
GAUGAAGAACGUAGCGAAAUGCGAUAAGUAGUGUGAAUUGCAGAAUUCAGUGAGUCAUCGAAUCUUUGAACGCACAUUGCGCCCCAUGGUAUUCCGUGGGGCAUGCCUGUUCGAGCGUCAUUUACCCCCUCAAGCUCCGCUUGGUGUUGGGCGUCUGUCCCGCUUCGCGCGCGGACUCGUCCCAAAGGUAUUGGCAGCGGUCGUGCCAGCUUCUCGCGCAGCACAUUGCGCUUCUCGAGGCACCGGUGGGCCCGCGUCCAUCAAGCUCACCCCCCCAGUUUGACCUCGGAUCAGGUAGGGAUACCCGCUGAACUUAAGCAUAUCAAUAAGCGGAGGA